This 307-nucleotide ribosomal RNA is filed under the name Candidatus Onthousia excrementipullorum. RNAcentral describes it as "partial 23S ribosomal RNA". It matches the Rfam family "Bacterial large subunit ribosomal RNA", at positions 2618 to 2925 of the family's 2925-position model. Lineage: Bacteria; Bacillati; Bacillota; Bacilli. The record is from RNAcentral.
GUCGUGAGACAGUUCGGUCCCUAUCCGUUGUGGGCGUAGGAAAAUUGAAGAGAGCUAUCCUUAGUACGAGAGGACCGGGAUGGACCAACCUCUGGUGUAUCUGUUGUAACGCCAGUUGCAGUGCAGAGUAGCUAUGUUGGGAAUGGAUAACCGCUGAAAGCAUCUAAGCGGGAAGCCAACUUUAAGAUGAGUUUUCCCAUAUUUUAUAUAGUAAGAUCCCAGAAAGACUAUCUGGUUGAUAGGCUGGAGGUGGAAGCAUGGUGACAUGUUGAGCUGACCAGUACUAAUAGAUCGAGGAUUUAACCCU